Molecule: ribosomal RNA, 404 nt
Filed under: uncultured bacterium
Lineage: Bacteria
Description: bacterial SSU rRNA
Rfam family: Bacterial small subunit ribosomal RNA
Source: RNAcentral
AUUGAACGCUGGCGGCGUGCCUAACACAUGCAAGUCGAGCGGUAACAGGUGUAGCAAUACAUGCUGACGAGCGGCGAACGGGUGAGUAAUGCUUUGGAAUCUUCCCAGUAGUGGGGAAUAACCAGUCGAAAGAUUGGCUAAUACCGCAUACGUCUGUAAAGGGAAAGCGGGGGCUCGCAAGACCUCGCGCUAUUGGAUGAGCCAAAGUCGGAUUAGCUAGUUGGGGGGUAAUGGCCUACCAAGGCGACGAUCCGUAGCUGGUCUGAGAGGACGACCAGCCACACCGGAACUGAGACACGGUCCGGACUCCUACGGGAGGCAGCAGUGGGGAAUAUUGGACAAUGGGGGAAACCCUGAUCCAGCGACGCCGCGUGUGUGAAGAAGGCCUGCGGGUUGUAAAGCAC